This 737-nucleotide ribosomal RNA is filed under the name Acinetobacter sp. RNAcentral describes it as "bacterial SSU rRNA". It matches the Rfam family "Bacterial small subunit ribosomal RNA", at positions 649 to 1386 of the family's 1533-position model. The record is from RNAcentral. Lineage: Bacteria; Pseudomonadati; Pseudomonadota; Gammaproteobacteria; Moraxellales; Moraxellaceae.
UGGGAGAGGAUGGUAGAAUUCCAGGUGUAGCGGUGAAAUGCGUAGAGAUCUGGAGGAAUACCGAUGGCGAAGGCAGCCAUCUGGCCUAAUACUGACGCUGAGGUACGAAAGCAUGGGGAGCAAACAGGAUUAGAUACCCUGGUAGUCCAUGCCGUAAACGAUGUCUACUAGCCGUUGGGGCCUUUGAGGCUUUAGUGGCGCAGCUAACGCGAUAAGUASACCGCCUGGGGAGUACGGUCGCAAGACUAAAACUCAAAUGAAUUGACGGGGGCCCGCACAAGCGGUGGAGCAUGUGGUUUAAUUCGAUGCAACGCGAAGAACCUUACCUGGUCUUGACAUAGUAAGAACUUUCCAGAGAUGGAUUGGUGCCUUCGGGAACUUACAUACAGGUGCUGCAUGGSUGUCGUCAGCUCGUGUCGUGAGAUGUUGGGUUAAGUCCCGCAACGAGCGCAACCCUUUUCCUUAUUUGCCAGCACUUCGGGUGGGAACUUUAAGGAUACUGCCAGUGACAAACUGGARGAAGGCGGGGACGACGUCAAGUCAUCAUGGCCCUUACGACCAGGGCUACACACGUGCUACAAUGGUCGGUACAAAGGGUUGCUACCUAGCGAUAGGAUGCUAAUCUCAAAAAGCCGAUCGUAGUCCGGAUUGGAGUCUGCAACUCGACUCCAUGAAGUCKGAAUCGCUAGUAAUCGCGGAUCAGAAUGCCGCGGUGAAUACGUUCCCGGGCCUUGUAC